Molecule: long non-coding RNA, 2075 nt
Organism: Bos taurus (domestic cattle)
Lineage: Eukaryota; Metazoa; Chordata; Mammalia; Artiodactyla; Bovidae
Source: Ensembl
AGGAUGCCUCCUCCCAACUGCGUCGUUGAGGACGGUGCGAGGCUGGGAUGGAUGAGAGGGCCACCGAGCACGAGUCUGACUGAGGGAGCGCGGCCCUCUGUCUCAGAAAGCCCUUGGCCUGAGAGGGGGGCACAGCCGCCUGGCGCCGGCGCCCACCGGCAGACCACUCCCCAACCCCGGAAACUAUUUCUGCAGCUUCCGGCUUUGGUUUCCCUUAGUCCGCUCCCACCUCUGACGUGAGUCUGACGGGCAGAGCCUGUGAGAGGCCGCACAAGAGCAGGGUCUGCAUCUCUCCCGGCCCCACUAAGGAGAACAGAAGUGGCCGGAAGGAGUCGGGAGUCCCAUAGUUUCCUCUGCUUACUCUGUAUCUUCAGAACCUAUGCUGUGCCUGGAAUGCCAUCGGCACUCAGGAAAGAGAGAGAAGGAAAGUGUCCAGGUCCUGCACACCGUCUCACCUCACAGUCUUAUCUUGGAGAGCAUUCCAAACCCCUCCUCUGAGGUCACCUUCAGUUGGGUCACCUACGACUGACGCGGGUGGCCUCUGUGUCUGAAGUGGGAGAGAGCCUGGAACCAGACGUCCUCAAAACAGUUGGGGAGCCCUUCAGCCUGCCACCCUCCUCCUGGAUCGGUCCAGAUCCCAAAGUAACAUCUACAAGAUCAAUUUAAAAUUUAACUCUGCUUUCAGAAGAAAGUCCAGCCAGUGGCAUAGCUUUGAGAUUCCAUCUGAUCUUUGCUGAUAUAUUUAGAACUGCUUUUACACACUUUUAAUUAGUGUAUACAUGCCAAGUUUUGUUUUGCCCCCCCUUAAUAUCACUUCUCAUAAAUAUUUCCCUGUACUAGCAUAAGAUCAUAUCUUUUUGAUUUGCAAUGGAAAAACUGUGUCACUGUUUUUUCCGUCACUCAAGCAUCUAUGGAGUUGAUCUUUUUGCCAGGAGUUCUCUCACUGGUGUUUGAAUACAAAAAGGAAUGUGAAAUAUGUCAUCUGAAAACUUCUGUUUAACUACUAAAAUGGCUCAGAUCUCAUUUGCUAUACACGUAAAGAUUAAAAUCAAUAGUAGUCAUGUAUCCCCCUGUUCUGCUUCAGAAAAAGGCAAGUGGAGGAACACCCCACCCUCACCCCAUCUUUGUCACACAUGCCCUUCCUCAAGGCUCUUGGCAUGGAAAGGAUUAGUAAACUAUGUCAAAGGCCAGGAGCCAAAAAUCACACCCUGUGCUAGCCAGGAAAACACUCCGCUCCCCAGGCCAUGCCCUCAUCCCACCAGCUCUGACACUCCAAGUGCCUGAAAUCAUGAGCAGGACAGUGAGUGCUUGGGUGGCCAACUCUCCCCUUCACGAUGUUUGCUUAAAUACUUACUGGACCAAGCUCAAAAAGGGUGCCUGUGAUUCCUCCUUCCAGCAUGUUGAGGCUGAAUCUUCUCCCAGACAGAUGUCAGCAGUAAUUUUACUGUAAAGAUGAAUCUUGAGCUUGGUGCAGACAUAGGCAAGAAGAAAUUUGACGUCACCACAUUCAACCCAGGAGCUGGAGGGGCAUCACUUAGUCAGAAGAAGUGGGAGACGGCGGACUGCACUGGAUCCUGGAGCCCACCUCCUGGAGAACAGCUGGUGUUAAUCCUUUAGAUGCUGGGUACCUGGGAGGGUCCCUGGAAAAGGGCUGCAGCAUCAGCAGUGGUUAUUGGGCCAUGGUCUGGAAGGAUGACUGGGUUUUAACACCCAGCACAGCCAUCACUGGGCAUAUUGACUGAACAUCUGGCUCAGGUGUAACUGAAGGUGUGGGCUCCCACAGGUGGCCCUCAUCUUCUUUCCAUGUCCCCACCCUGGAGCCAUCCUCAUACUAAGUCACUUCAGUUGUGUUCAACUCUUUGGAACCCUAUAGACUGCAGGCCACCAGGCUUCUCUGUUCAUGGGAUUCUCUAGGCAGGAAUACUGGACUAGGUUGCCAUGCCCUUCUCCAGGGGAUCUUCCUGACCCAGGGACUGAACCUGAGACUCUUAUGUCUCCUGCAUUGGCAGGUGGUUUCUUUACUACUACCACCACCUGGGAGCUCCUGGGGGGCCAUCCUCAGUGAUCCUGAUAUC